UGAAACCAACAUUUGGUAUCAGAGCUAGGUUGAAUAACGAGAGUGCCGGUUUGAGAGUCAAUUUCGAGAAAGGAGGCAGCCCUUGGUUGUAGGGCUGAUGUCAAAGAAGAAGCAGGGGAGAUUUCAUGUUAGGAGAUCGCGACAUAGAAGAAAGAAUGCUGAUCGAGAUCAGCAAGAAAGAAAGUCAGAUUCAAAUCUUUGAAUCCUUAUGAAAGAAAGAAGAGCCACCACAAGAAAGAAGAAAGAGGCCGGCGUCGUUUAGCGAGAAAUAAAGGCCUCACAAGAAAGAAAGAAAGAAAGAAGAACAGCUGUUUGAAAUCAGCGAAGAAAGAAGAAAGUCGCAACGAUCGGUGUGAGAAAGAAAGAGUCGUCGCCAAUCGGAAAGGACAAAGAAUGAUUGUGAAAGAAAGAAGCAGAAAGAAAUUGUGAUUUCAGUCUAUCGCAAGAAAGAAAGAAACUUGAAAGAAAGACCGAAGAACUCACCGGUGACAAGGAAGAACAGGUGUCGAUGAGAAAGAAGAAAGAAAACCCGACAACCGAAGAAAGAAAACCGAAAGUUAACAAGACCCGACCCGUGUGGUUCGUAGCAAGAUCGGACGUUGUCUUUGAAUAGCAAGCCGGCAAGAACGGAUUCAAAUAAAGCAUGCAAGAGUGACUCAAAUCAAGCAAGAAAACCGAUUCAAAUUUUAGCAUGGAAAGCAAAAACGAAUGCAAGCAAAAAUUGAGAAAGUAGAAAGAACCGAAUCAAGAUUAAGGGGGUGAAUGUUGGGUUUAAUCUUGAUUAUGGAUCAAGUACGGUUUACAGGUAAAAGGGUCAGAUUUUGUUACGUGAAAUUGUUGAGUAAAUUGGAGAAUCAUGGUGCAUGAAGUUACGUGGUUUGUUUUAACAAUUUAGCUUGUGUUUCUUUUGCUUGUUUAAUAUGAAUAGUUAGUUGGGUAGUUCAUUAAAUGUACCUCAUUUUCAUGUGCGUAGAACAAAAGUGUUU
RNAcentral lists this long non-coding RNA (986 nucleotides) under Helianthus annuus (common sunflower). Its description in RNAcentral is "hypothetical non coding rna". The record is from RNAcentral. Lineage: Eukaryota; Viridiplantae; Streptophyta; Magnoliopsida; Asterales; Asteraceae.